UAUAUUUAUUUAUUUACUUAUUUGGAGAUUAAAUUAAAGUGCACCAUAAUCAAAGAAAAUCAGGUUUUCUAAAAAAAAAAGUCAAAUGAAAAGAGCAUGUUCAACAUAAAACAAAUAUGUGAACACUUCAACACGUGGAUGCAUACAUUUUGCAAACUCCAAGUUGAACCUGCUGCAGUUUCCCUCCCCCACCCCUCUGUUCAUGUGUAUGUGUGUGUGUGUUAAGCACACAUCCCUCACAGCGCCUCAUUCAACUCAUGAACGCGCGGCAUUUGCAAACACGUGCUAAUGACGCAAUCAAUUGGAGACGCCUUUUCCCGCGAACUCAUCUCUCCUGGGAGAGCAGUCUUUAUAGGAAACAUGCCCUUUGUCUUCAUGCUGGGAUUAAGAAAAAACAGAAAGCGUAAAAUACCUCAAGAGGAUGCAGAACAUUACAUUUGUUGUAAAAGUGACAAACCUGCAAGUGCAAUUCAUCAACAAUUACAAAGGAGGAUGAGUUUUCACCACUGAAGCUUUAUUCAGAGGGGAUUUUGUUCUUGAGUACAAGUUUGGGUGCAUGGAUGCAUCGAAAGAAGAUGGGUCUUUUGGGAGACUUGUAAAUGAUGACCACAAAGCUCCUAACUGCAAAAUAAAAAUCAUAUCUUUGCUGUGUGCAACAUACUUCCAGGAGAAGAUAUAACCUACAAUUAUGGAGAUUCUGGUUAUGUCCCAUAAUGCUUCUGUCUUCUCACCUGUUUUGGAC
Non-coding RNA from Danio rerio (zebrafish), 742 nucleotides. Lineage: Eukaryota; Metazoa; Chordata; Actinopteri; Cypriniformes; Danionidae. The record is from RefSeq and is a predicted model, not a curated record.